AAGUAGAAUGGGAAAAGUACAGGAAAAAAGGAUUUAGUCUACAGCGGAGUGAUGCCCAAAGGGCAGACAGACUCCAGGAUGCUAAAUUACAGAAACUACUCCUAGGGAAAAACGGUAAAUGCAGGAAAGAAAGAUGCAGGAAACUAAGGGUGGUCUAUUGUUCGCAGGGGCAAAGACCCAUUUUCAGGGUAUCAUCGAUCUAUUUAUCCUAUCGCCCCUGAUACAGUUAUUGCACGAUUAGCCACUAUUUCCUAGUAUUCCGGACCCACUUUGGCCGAUCAAACCGC
RNAcentral lists this long non-coding RNA (287 nucleotides) under Ananas comosus (pineapple). RNAcentral's name for it is "long non-coding RNA (ACOM_LNC038388)". Lineage: Eukaryota; Viridiplantae; Streptophyta; Magnoliopsida; Poales; Bromeliaceae. The record is from RNAcentral.